This 254-nucleotide ribosomal RNA is filed under the name uncultured bacterium. Its description in RNAcentral is "partial 16S ribosomal RNA". It matches the Rfam family "Bacterial small subunit ribosomal RNA", at positions 524 to 776 of the family's 1533-position model. The record is from RNAcentral.
UACGUAGGGUGCAAGCGUUGUCCGGAAUUAUUGGGCGUAAAGAGCUCGUAGGCGGUUGGGCAAGUCACGUGUGAAAUCUCCACGCUCAACGUGGAGGCGCCACGUGAGACUGCCCUGACUCGAGUCCGGUAGGGGAGCGUGGAAUUCCCGGUGUAGCGGUGAAAUGCGCAGAGAUCGGGAGGAACACCCGUAGCGAAGGCGGCGCUCUGGGCCGGUACUGACGCUGAGGCGCGAAAGCUAGGGGAGCAAACGGG